UGGGAUUCUUCCGCAAUGGGCGAAAGCCUGACGGAGCAACGNCGCGUGUGGGAUGACGCCUUUCGGGGUGUAAACCACUUUUCUCAGGGAAGAAGCACUAACGGUACCUGAGGAAUAAGGACCGGCUAACUACGUGCCAGCAGCCGCGGUAAUACGUAGGGUCCGAGCGUUGUCCGGAGUUACUGGGCGUAAAGCGCGCGCAGGCGGCGGUAUAAGCAUGGCGUGAAAGCCCCAGGCUCAACCUGGGAGGGUCGUCGUGGACUGUACCGCUUGAGGGCGGUAGGGGCUGGUGGAAUGCCUGGUGUAGUGAUGAAAUGCGUAGAGAUCAGGCGGAACACCCGUGGCGAAGGCGGCCAGCUGGGCCGUCCCUGACGCUGAGGCGCGAAGGCGUGGGGAGCGAAAGGGAUUAGAUACCCCUGUAGUCA
RNAcentral lists this ribosomal RNA (425 nucleotides) under uncultured Dictyoglomus sp. Its description in RNAcentral is "bacterial SSU rRNA". It matches the Rfam family "Bacterial small subunit ribosomal RNA", at positions 356 to 796 of the family's 1533-position model. Lineage: Bacteria; Pseudomonadati; Dictyoglomota; Dictyoglomia; Dictyoglomales; Dictyoglomaceae. The record is from RNAcentral.